Long non-coding RNA from Ostrea edulis (European flat oyster), 890 nucleotides. RefSeq lists it as uncharacterized. NCBI's taxonomy places the organism in Eukaryota, Metazoa, Mollusca, Bivalvia, Ostreida, Ostreidae. The record is from RefSeq and is a predicted model, not a curated record. The transcript has 3 exons.
CGGCGUGACCGUGUUUGAGGGCGAAGCAAAAAAGUUUUGGCAUUAGUGUCUAUAUCCAAAACAGGACAAAAAUAACCCGAAGUUAGCACGAGGACAGAGCUGUAUCAAAGCAUCCCAAUUUUGGACAUUUGAUCCGCCUAUAUAUUGAACGCGGGAAAUAUAACGCAAUCGAUGUAAACAGUACAUUGUGACGUCAUAUUCAGCGUCGUUAUCUAGCAAAUUUACAAACAGCGUUUGAACCACAACAAAAAACAUGGCGUUAAUCGUGGAGUGAUUUUAUAUGAUUAAGAAAAUCAGAUUUACAGGUUUUUACGGAUUUUAUGUAAUGUCUCAGAACGACGUGAACUAGGGUAGACGAGAUUCAAAAUGGAGGAAUACAUGUCCACGCGCUAAUAUUCGACUCGACGCCAUUGGUACCAAACUUUUCAAGUUCCAUAGAUAUAAAAGGGCAAACAACACAGCUGGAUAAAGCAUCCUAUAUCUGCACCUCGUAAAGCUAUGACAAUGAGAGAAAUGUAUCCACCCAAGCAAUCAGAAUAUAGAGUGCAAUCUGGAAGGUGCGCUGCAGCUCAAAGAGAGCCAUGGUUAUUGGCAUCAAGUUCUCCAUCAGCUUUACCUCACAGGCACCACUUGUGAUUUCAUAGUUUGAACACCAAUGAACAUGGAAGUGAUUCUCAUCCUUCGAGAUGAAUUAUGGGAAUUAUACUUGGCAUACAUGAUUGAGCCUUUGUGCCCUCUCUGCAAUAACCAACUAGACAGACUUGUAAAAAUUCAAAUGUCUUCCAUUAGUUUUAUUUUGUUUUUGCUACAAAUGAUCAGUGUAAAGAUGUGCAUGAAUCACCAUUGUAACAAUUUCUUUGACUAGCAACCUUAAAUAAAUGUUCACUUUA